Molecule: ribosomal RNA, 460 nt
Filed under: uncultured bacterium
Lineage: Bacteria
Description: partial 16S ribosomal RNA
Rfam family: Bacterial small subunit ribosomal RNA
Source: RNAcentral
CCUACGGGUGGCAGCAGUGAGGAAUAUUGGUCAAUGGACGAAAGUCUGAACCAGCCAAGUCGCGUGAAGGAUGACUGCCCUAGGGGUUGUAACCUUCUUUUAUGGAGAAGUAAAACGAGGCACGUAUGCCUUUUUGCAUGUACUUUAUGAAUAAGGCUCGGCUAACUCCGUGCCAGCAGCCGCGGUAAUCCGGAGGAUCCGAGCGUUAUCCGGAUUUAUUGGGUUUAAAGGGAGCGUAGAUGGGUUGUUAAGUCAGUUGUGAAAGUUUGCGGCUCAACCGUAAAAUUGCAAUUGAUACUGGCAGUCUUGAGUACAGUUGAGGUAGGCGGAAUUCGUGGUGUAGCGGUGAAAUGCUUAGAUAUCACGAAGAACCCCGAUUGCGAAGGCAGCUUACUAAACUGUGACUGACACUGAUGCUCGAAAGCGUGGGUAUCAAACAGGAUUAGAUACCCUAGUAGUC